AACUUAUUUCAACUCUCUCCUCUCUCUCUCUCUCUCUAGGGUUUUGUUUUUCAUCGAUUGCACGAAAAAUUCCCCAAUUGGUCGUAUCUAUUCGAUCGAAAUGGAAUAUGGAGGCGGAGAUUUGGAAGCGAAAAUUGACAUGUUGCUGAAUGUGGAGAAGCAGAUGAGGCAAGUAGGUGAUGUUGCAGAUACGAGGAAGGCCGUCACACCUCUUGAAAUUCUUCUUCUCACACCUCAAACAAUACCCCUCAGUUUCUCCCUCCAAGAAAGCCAAAGCCGGCGAAGGAGAGACGCCGCAGUUCAGUCCUCCCACCGCCAAAAUACCCUCACCCAACCCCACCAUCAAACCAUUUCCCUUCUCCUCUGUUCACUUCUUCGAGGAAAAAGUUUAAAGAAAGCAGGUGAAGUUCAUGGUGGUAUGGCCGACUCAAGGGUUCGAAUGUGAUGGUACGGCAGCACCCGCGGGAGAAGCAGCUGAGGAUGUGGGUCCAAAUCCAAGAAAGGAAAACCCCGCUGGAAAAAACCCUUAAACCACCGUUUUCUCCCCAUCAUGAAACCCCACCCACACUCACAUGGUGAAACCCUCUCACCUUCAUUUCUUUUUUCUUGUGUUCAUUUCUCACCCAAAAAACAGAGUAAAGAAAACCAAGAAAAGCAGGGGGGAGAGACAGAGCGAGAAGGAGGCCUCAAAUUAUGGUUUGGGAUUACACUGGUUUUGGAUCUACAAGGUACAAUGCCAGAGACAUUAACAAAGAAAUACUAGGGUGUCAUUGUUAAGAGGAUAUAAAUCAGACAGGAGACCUGCAAACUUGACAAUGAUGGCAAUUCUGGAUGGCUUCAGAAGGCAUAUUCCGUUGAUUGCAGACCACUCAAUGUACCGCGUGCUGCUGCAUUCCAAGGGGCUCAUUAUAUUUCACCAUUGAAAAGGCACAUAAUCUCGUAUGCAUCUGGUAACCAAGCUUGUACACUCGUUUAAGGAAGGUUCGGAGGAAUGGUCCAAGAAGGCGGUAGAGCUUGAGGAUUCAUGAAGACUUUAGACUUUGGUUGUGGAAUUUCAAAAUUAUCUGUUUGUCUUAUGUCUUCAUACAUGCUGGACUCGAAUGGAAGGUGUAUGAGGUGGCAAAGACGGUCUUUGAAAACAAUGAAACAGAAACUAGAAAGUCUUUGCAAAGUGAUAAUGGUGGUAAAAAGUUGAUCAUUUUCUUGGCUUUCACUCUUCAUUUCAUCCAUCAAGCAUUCCUUUAUAUGUUUGCAUUGUUAUCUUGAGUUCUUGAUAUUUAUCAUCUACAUUAUGGGGUUGUGAUUUUCUUUUUAUCUAUGGCAAGUUUGUUCCUUUGAUAAAUAGUGUUGGAUGCUUUUUUAGUGGUUUUCAAUUACUUUACUACUGUGGUGUGGGUGUUUCUCAUCUUGUUUAAUUUGGUUGUGCUUUUAUGUUAUCUCAUUCAAGUAAACGACGUGUAUUGUGUUCUUUGUGGUAUAUCAAGCUCUGUGAGACAUUUUGUUGUCGG
Sesamum indicum (sesame) is the source of this 1508-nucleotide non-coding RNA. Lineage: Eukaryota; Viridiplantae; Streptophyta; Magnoliopsida; Lamiales; Pedaliaceae. The record is from RefSeq and is a predicted model, not a curated record.